This 4363-nucleotide unclassified non-coding RNA is filed under the name Homarus americanus (American lobster). RNAcentral describes it as "zinc finger protein 708-like, transcript variant X3". The record is from RNAcentral. Lineage: Eukaryota; Metazoa; Arthropoda; Malacostraca; Decapoda; Nephropidae.
UCUCUCUCUCGUCAUUACAGUUUUAUGUUUUUUUCCGUGGAGAAAAUGAUGGAAGCUGAAAUUCCGGACUUUUGAAGAAUUUUAAAAAUUACUUCCGGGAGAAGAUUUCGAAACCUAAAUGGAGGAUAUGUCCAGGAAAAUACGGACCUAUGACAACCCUACUACGGUAACAUUAUCUUCUCACUGACUACAUCAGGUCUCUAUACCCCCGUUAAGCGAGAAUCAGCGUCCGAAUCCAACGACGAACCAGAACCAGGCCAAUAAGACAUAAAGGUGGGAGAGGGUGGAUGUAACAAAGGGACAUCAGAAGGCCGUCCCACACAGACAUCUCUCACCACAAUCUACAAAACAGGAGGCAGAACAGGUCAAGAACAGUCCCUUAAAACUGUACAAUAAGUCAGUGUGAGGAUUAGUGAAUACUGUAUCUUCAGGAGAAGUUUGUAAGCAUGAUUAAUGUUAAUUGUCAACUGUGUAAAUCAUAAGUUACAAAUAUGAAAGUCAAGUUAGUGAUCCUUGGAAACUGAGGAUGAAAAGAAGGUUCACACAAGUGAAUCUUUCUCCUGAAAAUAUUGCACUGUUAAAUGUUGUUUAAAUACAACAUGAUGAUUAUUGUAAUGUUUUACCUUAAACAAGACCUUGUGACUAAUGCUUGUGAUCACUGGUGAGAAAGUUCCAAUACAGUACAGUACAUAAAUGUGGCAAGUGUUUGUCUCCACUGCUUGUGUACUGUUGAGAUAAAGUUAACUUUUGGUUAAGGUUUCCUUGUGCAAGAGUAACCUCCAUAACCACCUACAUGUGGUGACUUAUGAAUAGGAACCAUUUACCUGUGACGACUGGGAUUUAUAUUGUUUCUAUACUUUGAGUAUAAUAUCUCAAUGGUCUGUCCAUUGAUGAAAUAUUAUUUUGUACAAACUUUUGUAAAUUACAGUUUGUAAAAAAUGGCUGAUUUUGUUGGUCAAAUGGCCAGACAUGAUGACGAGGGAAAGUGUCUGUGUGUAUAUUGUGGUAAUGAUGCUUUACAAACGCAUACCUAUAUGACUGAACACGCUGAUGUGAUAGAUAUUAAAUAUGAAGAAGUUGAUGAAAGCUUUGACAGUAACUGUGAAACAACACAACAUGUGGCUCUGCUUGCUGAGAAAGAUAUCAAGUGUGAAGCAUUUGAUGUAAGUUAUAACAGUAACUCUGAUGAGACACAACAUGUGACUGUUGAUGGGAAAGAUAUCAAGUGUGAAGCAUUUGAUGUAAGUUUUAACAGUAACUCUGAUGAGACACAACAUGUGACUGUUGCUGAGAAAGAUAUCAAGUGUGAAGCAUUUGAUGUAAGUUUUAACAGUAACUCUGAUGAGACACAACAUGUGACUGUUGCUCAGGAAAAUGUUAAAUGCCAAGAAAUUGGUAAAUGUUAUAACAGAGAGAAUCAGCUGAAGGAACAUAUGGUACACAUUGAGAACAAUUUGGAGUGUGGUAAAAGGAUUUAUUCACAGUACAAUCAUGUAAAUCAGCAUUUGGAUAUGCUCACUGCAGAGAAAAAAUAUAAGUGUGAAGAGUGUAGGAAAAGUUUUUCCAGAUAUGGCGAUCUGAAGAAACAUUUGCUUAUACACACUGGUGAGAAACCUUUUAAGUGCGAAGAGUGUGGUAAAAAAAUUUCCAGAAAGAGUAAUCUGAAGAAACACAGGGAUAUACACACUAAGAAAACUUCUAAGUGUGAAGAGUGUGGUAAAAGAUUUUCUAGAAAGAGCGAUCUGAGCAAACAUUUGCUUAUACACACUAAUGAGAAACAUUAUAAGUGUGAAGAGUGUGGGAAAAGUUUCUGCACAAAGAAUAGUCUGAAGAAGCAUUUGGUUGUACACACUGAUGAGAAACUUUUUAAGUGUGAAGAGUGUGGCAAAGGUUAUUAUCUAAAGAAUGAGCUGAAGGUACACAUGCUUGUACACAAAGGUGAGAAACCUUUUAAGUGUGAAGAGUGUGGUAAAGGUUUCUAUACAGAGAAGAGUCUGAAGAAGCAUUUGGUUGUACACACUGGUGAGAAACCUUUUAAGUGUGAAGAGAGUGGGAAAGGUUUCUAUGCAAAAAACAGUCUGAAGAAGCAUUUGGUUGUACACACUGGUGAGAAACCCUUUAAGUGUGAAGAGUGUGGGAAAGGUUUCUAUACAAAGAACAGUCUGAAGAAGCAUUUGGUUGUACACACUGGUGAGAAACCCUUUAAGUGUGAAGAGUGUGGGAAAGGUUUUUCCAGAAAGGAAGAUCUGAAAAAUCAUUUGCCUAGACACACGGGUGAAAAAAUUUUUAAGUGUGAAGAGUGUGGCAAAGGUUUCUAUGUAGAGAAAAGUCUGAAGAAGCAUUUGGUUGUACACACUGGUGAGAAACCCUUUAAGUGUGAAGAGUGUGGGAAAGGUUUUUCCAGAAAGGAAGAUCUGAAAAAUCAUUUGCCUAGACACACGGGUGAAAAAAUUUUUAAGUGUGAAGAGUGUGGCAAAGGUUUCUAUGUAGAGAAAAGUCUGAAGAAGCAUUUGGUUGUACACACUGGUGAGAAACCCUUUAAGUGUGAAGAGUGUGGGAAAGGUUUUUCCAGAAAGGAAGAUCUGAAAAAUCAUUUGCCUAGACACACGGGUGAAAAAAUUUUUAAGUGUGAAGAGUGUGGCAAAGGUUUCUAUGUAGAGAAAAGUCUGAAGAAGCAUUUGGUUGUACACACUGGUGAGAAACCCUUUAAGUGUGAAGAGUGUGGGAAAGGUUUUUCCAGAAAGGAAGAUCUGAAAAAUCAUUUGCCUAGACACACGGGUGAAAAAAUUUUUAAGUGUGAAGAGUGUGGGAAAGGUUUCUAUACAAAGAACAGUCUGAAGAAGCAUUUGGUUGUACACACUGGUGAGAAACCCUUUAAGUGUGAAGAGUGUGGGAAAGGUUUUUCCGGAAGGGCAGUUCUGAAAAAUCAUUUGCCUAGACACACGGGUGAAAAAAAUUUUAAGUGUGAAGAGUGUGGCAAAGGUUUCUAUGUAGAGAACAGUCUGAAGAAGCAUUUGGUUGUACACACUGGUGAGAAACCCUUUAAGUGUGAAGAGUGUGGGAAAGGUUUCUAUGUAAAGAACAGUCUGAAGGAGCAUUUGAUUGUACACACUGGUGAGAAACCUUUUAAGUGUGAAGAGUGUGGUAAAGGUUACUAUGCAAAAAACAGUCUGAAGAAGCAUUUGAUUGUACACACUGGUGAGAAACCUUUUAAGUGUGAAGAGUGUGGUAAAGGUUUCUAUGCAAAAAACAGUCUGAAGAAGCAUUUGGUUGUACACACUGGUGAGAAACCUUUUAAGUGUGAAGAGUGUGGGAAAGGUUUCUAUGCAAAAAACAGUCUGAAGAAGCAUUUGGUUGUACACACUGGUGAGAAACCCUUUAAGUGUGAAGAGUGUGGGAAAGGUUUCUAUGUAAAGAACAGUCUGAAAAGGCAUUUGGUUAGACACACUGAUUGAGAAACUUUACAAUGAGAAGAGUGGUAAAAAAAUUCCAUAAAGGAUCGUCUCAAGAGACUUAGGUGUGUGCACACUGGUGAAAAAAAUUUUAAGUGUGAAGUGUGUGAUAAAAAUUUAUUCCAGAAAGAGUGACCUGAAGCAACAUGUGUGUAUGCUGCACACUGGUUAAAAUAUUUAUUGUGAAGCGUGUGGUAAUAGCUUUUCCACAAAGAAAGUGAAGACACACAUUGUACACACUGGUGAGACAAAUUGUACUUAUGAAGAGUGUGGUAAAAGUGUUUGCUUUCAUUUUAUAUUUUGCUUUUUCCUCUUUGCCACUGAUCAGCUCGUUAGCUGCUUGGGCGGUCGGUAACGUCUCUGUUACGCACUAUUGGCAAGUACUGGGCAUACACUGGCUCUUGAAUACUGUAUAUCGGAACCUACCCCAGUGUUGGUCAAGUCUGGCCUUGAAUGAGAUCACACUCGGUGUCCUCACAACACUGGCAGAUUGCUCCAAGUGUUCAAAAUUCUCACUUCAACCUUGAGCUGUGACCCCUUGUGAGGUGGGCAUCUAACUUCUUCAGUACUUGAGUACUUUAUGGAUGAGAUACUUUUGUACUUCUACUUGAGUAUAUUGAACUUUGGAUACUUUUACUUCUACUUGAAUUACAUUUUGCCAAAAUCUCACUUAAGUAACAAAGUCCAGUACUAUUUACAACUGUGCUCACUGGUAAGAAAAAUUUUAAGUGUGAAGGUUGGGGAAAUAGUGUUUUAUACCAGUGAAAUUCUGAAACAACAUAUGGUUAUGCACUGCUUAGUUAGUUUCCUGGAUUUUCUGCACAAAAACUUGGAGAAACGUAAGACAUCACAGGCCGUUGCCCUUGUUGACUUCAGGAAGGCUUUUGACCUUGUUGAUCACUGCACUAUUA